RNAcentral lists this ribosomal RNA (441 nucleotides) under uncultured bacterium. RNAcentral's name for it is "partial 16S ribosomal RNA". It matches the Rfam family "Bacterial small subunit ribosomal RNA", at positions 338 to 795 of the family's 1533-position model. The record is from RNAcentral.
CCUACGGGUGGCAGCAGUGGGGGAUAUUGCACAAUGGGGGAAACCCUGAUGCAGCGACGCCGCGUGAGUGAAGAAGUAUUUCGGUAUGUAAAGCUCUAUCAGCAGGGAAGAAAAUGACAGUACCUGACCAAGAAGCCCCGGCGAACUACGUGCCAGCAGCCGCGGGAAUACGUAGGGGGCAAGCGUUAUCCGGAUUUACUGGGUGUAAAGGGAGCGUAGGCGGGUAUGGAAGUCUGGAGUGAAAGACCGGGGCCCAACCCCGGGAAUGCUUUGGAACCUGUGUAACUGGAGUAAAGGAAGGGCAGGCGGAAAUCCUGGGGUAGCGGGGGAAUGCGGAGAUAUCAGGGGGAAAACCGGGGGCGAAGGCGGCCUGCUGGACUGAAACUGGCGUUGAGGCUCGAAAGCGUGGGGAGCAAACAGGAUUAGAUAACCCGGGUAGUC